This 467-nucleotide ribosomal RNA is filed under the name uncultured bacterium. RNAcentral's name for it is "partial 16S ribosomal RNA". It matches the Rfam family "Bacterial small subunit ribosomal RNA", at positions 28 to 507 of the family's 1533-position model. The record is from RNAcentral.
GACGAACGCUGGCGGUGUGCUUAACACAUGCAAGUCGAACGGUAAGGCCCUUUCGGGGGUACACGAGUGGCGAACGGGUGAGUAACACGUGAGUAACCUGCCCUCAUCUCUGGGAUAACAGUCGGAAACGGUUGCUAAUACUGGAUAUGAGCUUGCAAGGCACCUUGUGGGUUGGAAAGAUUUUUUUGGUUGGGGAUGGACUCGCGGCCUAUCAGCUUGUUGGUGAGGUAGUGGCUCACCAAGGCUUCGACGGGUAGCCGGCCUGAGAGGGCGACCGGCCACAUUGGGACUGAGAUACGGCCCAAACUCCUACGGGAGGCAGCAGUGGGGAAUAUUGCACAAUGGACGGAAGUCUGAUGCAGCAACGCCGCGUGCGGGAUGACGGCCUUCGGGUUGUAAACCGCUUUCAAUUGUGACGAAGCUUUUUUGUGACGGUAGCAGUAGAAGAAGCACCGGCUAACUACGUG